RNAcentral lists this ribosomal RNA (474 nucleotides) under Latilactobacillus sakei. RNAcentral describes it as "bacterial SSU rRNA". It matches the Rfam family "Bacterial small subunit ribosomal RNA", at positions 68 to 527 of the family's 1533-position model. The record is from RNAcentral. Lineage: Bacteria; Bacillati; Bacillota; Bacilli; Lactobacillales; Lactobacillaceae.
UGCUCCUGAUUGAUAAACAUUUGAGUGAGUGGCGGACGGGUGAGUAACACGUGGGUAACCUGCCCUAAAGUGGGGGAUAACAUUUGGAAACAGAUGCUAAUACCGCAUAAAACCUAACACCGCAUGGUGUAGGGUUGAAAGAUGGUUUCGGCUAUCACUUUAGGAUGGACCCGCGGUGCAUUAGUUAGUUGGUGAGGUAAAGGCUCACCAAGACCGUGAUGCAUAGCCGACCUGAGAGGGUAAUCGGCCACACUGGGACUGAGACACGGCCCAGACUCCUACGGGAGGCAGCAGUAGGGAAUCUUCCACAAUGGACGAAAGUCUGAUGGAGCAACGCCGCGUGAGUGAAGAAGGUUUUCGGAUCGUAAAACUCUGUUGUUGGAGAAGAAUGUAUCUGAUAGUAACUGAUCAGGUAGUGACGGUAUCCAACCAGAAAGCCACGGCUAACUACGUGCCAGCAGCCGCGGUAAUACG